Molecule: long non-coding RNA, 1204 nt
Organism: Gossypium raimondii (Peruvian cotton)
Lineage: Eukaryota; Viridiplantae; Streptophyta; Magnoliopsida; Malvales; Malvaceae
Exons: 2
Source: RefSeq, a predicted model, not a curated record
AAAACCUAGAAAACCAUUGAUGAAGUGUUAAGCUAUUCGGUCCUUGCGUGAAUUAAAAUUUUGUUUUUCGUAAAUUUUAUAUUUUUGAAAUAGUAGAAGCUCGAUUUAGCUAACUCGAGUAAUAUUUUUCAGAAUUGUUUAAGUUUUUUAAAGUUUUUUAAGGGUUUGGAAGAGAAAUUGGUAAAUGUUGAGGACAACAUCAUUAUACCAUUUCUCUAUAAGUUGCUGCAAGAAUCAGAGGUUUCAUGGUUUUUGUUUCAGGGUGUGGAGUUAUUGAAGGCAUCCAUGCCUACAGUCCGAGACUGUGCUUGCUGAUGUAUUGCUGAAGAGGUAGAGCUGGAAAAUAAGUUGCCGAUGUUUAAGAGCUUUAGAAAAGAGCAGAAUCACACAUUCCUUAGAGACAGACAAGGCCACUCUACGACUUUUUAUAAAUAAAAACGCAAAUGACUUGCUGAAAACCAUGAAGCCGGGCGGUGAGUACAAAGCGAACUAUUCUUCCGCCUUUUGUGCUGGCCGCUCAUUGCGGCAUGCGUCUAUUUUUUGAGGCCUAAUUCCUUCACUGGAAUGGCCCAACAAAUUUCAGUUUCGAGUAUUAUUUCGUUUGUCUUCAAUGGCUAAAUGUUAGGUCCAAGUUUGACUCAUUUUACAAACAAAAGUGUUAACUGGCUUUUAUGAGGUACCCUCACUGUUGAUUCUCUGAUACACAUUAUAUGUAUUUUGGUAACUCGUGCUGAAAAACCCACGAAGCUGUGUUGAUUUUGUCUGUUGGCACCGUUAUGAGGCUCCUUUCUUAUAAAGGAAUGUUGGAUGGCCUUGGGACCCUUUUAUGACAGCAUUGAAAGUUUGGGUGAUACAUGCAGUCAGCAGCAAACAAAGCCACCCUUGAAAAGCCUAUGGUUUCUAACUAGGCUGCUAAUAAUGUACCACUCUUGUUUCCAAUCCUCAGUAUCCACCACCAUUCUUUUUGUUUGUCCAUGGAGUUGUUAUAAUUAUAUGGUCAUGGAUGAUCUAAUGGCUAGGCAGACCUAUGUCCACAAUUUCUGGUAUCACUUUCCUCAACUAGUUCAAAAUCCAGAAUGUCAUUGGUAUGGGAGUGGAUGAGGUAAAAGAUUCCUUUUUAAGUGUAUAUUUAAGUACGCAUCCAUACAUGUAUGUAUAUUUAUUUCAUUUUCAAUAAGAUUGGCUUAGAGCUUAUUUGUGCAAA